Equus caballus (horse) is the source of this 774-nucleotide long non-coding RNA. NCBI's taxonomy places the organism in Eukaryota, Metazoa, Chordata, Mammalia, Perissodactyla, Equidae. The record is from Ensembl.
CAGGCUCUGGGGAGACGCCAAUGAACCAAAGUGGAAUCACAAACAACAAACACAAGGCCAGUCCCCGCCCUCGGGGGGCUGGCUGGCUCGGGGGCCCAGAGUUCACUCUGAGACAUGGACUUCUCUCACACACCUUGGGAGGCGGCUUCAGGCCAAAUGAGGAGUUCUCCCGCUAGAACCUUGACAAUCAGGGGAUGCCUCACAUGAAUCCGUUCUCUGUGGCAGUGGAUUCUGGGGCCACAGCUGGUUCUCAGGGUUUUAAAUCCAGGCCCCACUGGCAGUUAGGGCGGCCAGCAUUCCUUCCAUCCCCUGCUCAAACUCCCAGGAGGACCAGUGGCAGAGCCAGCCCUCGAGGGACCUGCGGCUGGAUGCGAGGCGAGAUGACCCCAGGGGGCGCGUCAGAGACCCGCACAAACAGAACAUCCCUCCCCAGCUUGGGCGUGCCAGGAGAGGGGCCAGGAGCCCAGGGCCACGAGCCUCCUUCGCUGACCCAGCUGGCACUCUGUGUGGUCACCUGCCCCUCCCCCGCGUCCGGGUGCGGACUACAGCCUGGCUUUGUCCUCUUUGUCCUUCAGUUGCUUGUCUGCCACAAAGAGAUUAUCACGUCUGCCCUGCCCGUGACUGCUGGGCCACCUGACCAGGACAUCUUAGCAUUUCUCAGCUCUUUCGUCCGUCCUCUGCUGUUGGGUGUCAGAGCGCCCUGGACCGGUUGUGUGGUCACUGGUUGCUCCUGCAGCCCGUCCUUCAUCAGUGCCUUCCCUGCCGUGUCAGGCU